CAGUCGACGGGAUCCCUGGCAGCUUGCUGUCGGGGUGAGAGUGGCGAACGGGUGAGUAAUGCGUGACCAACCUGCCCUGUGCACCGGAAUAGCUCCUGGAAACGGGUGGUAAUACCGGAUGCUCCGCUCCAUCGCAUGGUGGGGUGGGAAAUGCUUUUGCGGCAUGGGAUGGGGUCGCGUCCUAUCAGCUUGUUGGCGGGGUGAUGGCCCACCAAGGCGUUGACGGGUAGCCGGCCUGAGAGGGUGACCGGCCACAUUGGGACUGAGAUACGGCCCAGACUCCUACGGGAGGCAGCAGUGGGGAAUAUUGCACAAUGGGCGCAAGCCUGAUGCAGCGACGCCGCGUGCGGGAUGGAGGCCUUCGGGUUGUAAACCGCUUUUGUUCAAGGGCAAGGCACGGUUUCGGCCGUGUUGAGUGGAUUGUUCGAAUAAGCACCGGCUAACUACGUGCCAGCAGCCGCGGUAAUACGUAGGGUGCGAGCGUUAUCCGGAUUUAUUGGGCGUAAAGGGCUCGUAGGCGGUUCGUCGCGUCCGGUGUGAAAGUCCAUCGCCUAACGGUGGAUCUGCGCCGGGUACGGGCGGGCUGGAGUGCGGUAGGGGAGACUGGAAUUCCCGGUGUAACGGUGGAAUGUGUAGAUAUCGGGAAGAACACCAAUGGCGAAGGCAGGUCUCUGGGCCGUCACUGACGCUGAGGAGCGAAAGCGUGGGGAGCGAACAGGAUUAGAUACCCUGGUAGUCCACGCCGUAAACGGUGGAUGCUGGAUGUGGGGCCCUUUCCACGGGUCCCGUGUCGGAGCCAACGCGUUAAGCAUCCCGCCUGGGGAGUACGGCCGCAAGGCUAAAACUCAAAGAAAUUGACGGGGGCCCGCACAAGCGGCGGAGCAUGCGGAUUAAUUCGAUGCAACGCGAAGAACCUUACCUGGGCUUGACAUGUGCCGGAUCGCCGUGGAGACACGGUUUCCCUUCGGGGCCGGUUCACAGGUGGUGCAUGGUCGUCGUCAGCUCGUGUCGUGAGAUGUUGGGUUAAGUCCCGCAACAAGCGCAACCCUCGCCGCAUGUUGCCAGCGGGUGGAUGCCGGGGAACUCAU
This 1088-nucleotide ribosomal RNA is filed under the name bacterium P2F3. RNAcentral describes it as "bacterial SSU rRNA". It matches the Rfam family "Bacterial small subunit ribosomal RNA", at positions 59 to 1142 of the family's 1533-position model. The record is from RNAcentral.